GGAUUUUUCACCGAGCUGUACAGUGGCACAUGGCCAGGGCGCGCCCAAAGCCGCCGUCCACACUUACCCGCGUCCUUAUAACCGCCCCUCGGCGUCCGCGCGACGGUUUCUACCGCCCGCCGCCACCAGGGUUUUCUUCCCCCCUCGCCUUCUUCCUCCUCCUCCCCACGCAAUCCACGGAGGAACCGAGAGCGCGUAGGAGCGCAGCCAUGGCGUGACCGUGUCCAAGAUUCUUCCCCGUCACCGGCUCCGUGUCCAGGAGCUCCGCCGUCCACGUCUUCCUCGCCUACGUCCAGGAGGCCGCUCCCGAACGACUACAGCCACCACUCCUUCCUCUUCGGCCGCCGCCACGUCGUCGUCAAAGUCCUCCGCCUCCGUCCGCUACUCGACCGACGGAUCACACCUCCGUGGUCCUGGUGAGCUCCUCUUCCUCCCCAACUCUUUCCCCUCUCGAUAGCGUUCUCUGACAUCGAGUUCGUUCGACGAUCUCAAGAAGCCGCCGCCGCGCGGCAUGGUCACCGGCGUCGCUCCGGUGACCCUCUGCACGCCCCCUUUGUGCCGCGCGCACCGCAUGUCGUAGUAGAACCUUCCGCCGCCUUUUGUUUCGUCCUUAGCGAGCUCCUACGCCACGGACCUCGCCGCCGGCGUCGAAUCCGUCGGUCCCCGGCCACACCGCGUGCACCGCUAGAUGCGCGGCUUCGUGCUCUUCUGUUCGCACACAGCGCCGCGCCCUUUUGGUUGUCGGAACCCACUCCAGUGAGGUCUCCGCCGCUAUGGAAGGUCACCGCCGGCAGAUGGAUCAUGAGCUCGAUACCCAUCCGAACCAGAGGGGAAUAAGAGCCUCCUUUUAUUUUGCAUCCUCUCCGAAUCUUGCUCCUAUCGUAACUCGAGCUUCUUGCCUGCAAUCGAAUUUAUUAUUUCGCUGAAGCCUUUAUUCAAUUGCAUUUUCAGGCUGCUGAACAUGAUGGAUGAUGAUUUAUUCAAGUUGGACACUGAGCUUUUGGGGGUUUAUUCCGAAGAUGCAACCAAUGAUGACAAGCCCCUGGAGGAUGAACCUCAGAAUGAGCGGACAUGUGAUGAUGAUUUCAAGCACCUGUCACAGAAUGCAGAAGAUCAUGUGCCAGCCUUUGACGAACUUGAUGAAGAUAAUCUGAUGGGGCAGUUAUUUGCCGAGAACCCCCUGGAGCUGGCUAACUAUGCAAAGAAUCACGUGCCAAUGUAUGAUGAACAUGAUGAAGAUGUUCUGACGGGACAAUUAUUCGCUGAGAAUCCCCAGGAGCUGGCUCGGUAUACAGAGAAUCAUGUCCCAAUGUAUGAUAACCAUGGUAUGUAUAAACUCUUUAGUUUGAGGAUGGAUCUGGUCUGAAAUCAUUGUCUUGGGUCGACACCUUCCAACUUUUAAAUUGUUAAGUAUACAUUACUCAUUGUUGUCUGAAAGAAAAGGAGUGACUGAGAUAUAUCUACUAUAUCUAAAUAGCUAGCCCCCACUACAAAUAAUUCUCUCCCUUCUCCUUGUGCCACAUCAUCCAAAUUAAUUUAGCCAUUGGAUACACAAGAUCAGUCUACAAUAGCCAUUGGAUCUACAGGUUGAGAGCUCCUCCACCAAGCGCAUGCAGUAACGGAAGCAUGCAUGCAAAACGUGUAAUGUUUGUUUUAACCCAAAAGAAAUCUGAUGCAUGCGUGCUUGCAACUCA
This 1694-nucleotide ribosomal RNA is filed under the name Triticum aestivum (bread wheat). RNAcentral describes it as "partial small subunit ribosomal RNA". The record is from RNAcentral. Lineage: Eukaryota; Viridiplantae; Streptophyta; Magnoliopsida; Poales; Poaceae.